RNAcentral lists this ribosomal RNA (492 nucleotides) under uncultured bacterium. Its description in RNAcentral is "partial 16S ribosomal RNA". It matches the Rfam family "Bacterial small subunit ribosomal RNA", at positions 29 to 507 of the family's 1533-position model. The record is from RNAcentral.
AGUGAACGCUGGCGGUAGGCCUAACACAUGCAAGUCGAACGGCAGCACAGUAAGGGCUUGCUCUUACGGGUGGCGAGUGGCGGACGGGUGAGGAAUACAUCGGAAUCUACUUUUUCGUGGGGGAUAACGUAGGGAAACUUACGCUAAUACCGCAUACGACCUACGGGUGAAAGCAGGGGAUCUUCGGACCUUGCGCGAUUGAAUGAGCCGAUGUCGGAUUAGCUAGUUGGCGGGGUAAAGGCCCACCAAGGCGACGAUCCGUAGCUGGUCUGAGAGGAUGAUCAGCCACACUGGAACUGAGACACGGUCCAGACUCCUACGGGAGGCAGCAGUGGGGAAUAUUGGACAAUGGGCGCAAGCCUGAUCCAACCAUACCGCGUGGGUGAAGAAGGCCUUCGGGUUGUAAAGCCCUUUUGUUGGGAAAGAAAAGCAGCAGGUUAAUACCCCGCUGUUCUGACGGUACCCAAAGAAUAAGCACCGGCUAACUUCGUG